UGAAGGGGAGGAGUCAGGUUAAAUCCACUUCAGUCAGUGUAGAUGAAGGGGAGGAGUCAGGUUAAAUCCACUUCAGUCAGUGUUGAUGAAGGGGAGGAGUCAGGUUAAAUCCACUUCAGUCAGUGUAGAUGAAGGGGAGGAGUCAGGUUAAAUCCACUUCAGUCAGUGUAGAUGAAGGGGAGGAGUCAGGUUAAAUCCACUUCAGUCAGUGUAGAUGAAGGGGAGGAGUCAGGUUAAAUCCACUUCAGUCAGUGCAGAUGAAGGGGAGGAGUCAGGUUAAAUCCACUUCAGUCAGUGUUGAUGAAGGGGAGGAGUCAGGUUAAAUCCACUUCAGUCAGUGUUGAUGAAGGGGAGGAGUCAGGUUAAAUCCACUUCAGUCAGUGUAGAUGAAGGGGAGGAGUCAGGUUAAAUCCACUUCAGUCAGUGUAGAUGAAGGGGAGGAGUCAGGUUAAAUCCACUUCAGUCAGUGUAGAUGAGGGGGGAGGAGUCAGGUUAAAUCCACUUCAGUCAGUGUAGAUGAAGGGGAGGAGUCAGGUUAAAUCCACUUCAGUCAGUGUAGAUGAAGGGGAGGAGUCAGGUUAAAUCCACUUCAGUCAGUGUAGAUGAAGGGGAGGAGUCAGGUUAAAUCCACUUCAGUCAGUGUAGAUGAAGGGGAGGAGUCAGGUUAAAUCCACUUCAGUCAGUGUAGAUGAGGGGGGAGGAGUCAGGUUAAAUCCACUUCAGUCAGUGUAGAUGAAGGGGAGGAGUCAGGUUAAAUCCACUUCAGUCAGUGUAGAUGAAGGGGAGGAGUCAGGUUAAAUCCACUUCAGUCAGUGUAGAUGAAGGGGAGGAGUCAGGUUAAAUCCACUUCAGUCAGUGUAGAUGAAGGGGAGGAGUCAGGUUAAAUCCACUUCAGUCAGUGUAGAUGAAGGGGAGGAGUCAGGUUAAAUCCACUUCAGUCAGUGUAGAUGAAGGGGAGGAGUCAGGUUAAAUCCACUUCAGUCAGUGUAGAUGAAGGGGAGGAGUCAGGUUAAAUCCACUUCAGUCAGUGUAGAUGAAGGGGAGGAGUCAGGUUAAAUCCACUUCAGUCAGUGUAGAUGAGGGGGGAGGAGUCAGGUUAAAUCCACUUCAGUCAGUGUAGAUGAGGGGGGAGGAGUCAGGUUAAAUCCACUUCAGUCAGUGUAGAUGAAGGGGAGGAGUCAGGUUAAAUCCACUUCAGUCAGUGUAGAUGAAGGGGAGGAGUCAGGUUAAAUCCACUUCAGUCAGUGUAGAUGAAGGGGAGGAGUCAGGUUAAAUCCACUUCAGUCAGUGUAGAUGAAGGGGAGGAGUCAGGUUAAAUCCACUUCAGUCAGUGUAGAUGAGGGGGGAGGAGUCAGGUUAAAUCCACUUCAGUCAGUGUAGAUGAAGGGGAGGAGUCAGGUUAAAUCCACUUCAGUCAGUGUAGAUGAAGGGGAGGAGUCAGGUUAAAUCCACUUCAGUCAGUGUAGAUGAAGGGGAGGAGUCAGGUUAAAUCCACUUCAGUCAGUGUAGAUGAAGGGGAGGAGUCAGGUUAAAUCCACUUCAGUCAGUGUAGAUGAAGGGGAGGAGUCAGGUUAAAUCCACUUCAGUCAGUGUAGAUGAAGGGGAGGAGUCAGGUUAAAUCCACUUCAGUCAGUGUAGAUGAAGGGGAGGAGUCAGGUUAAAUCCACUUCAGUCAGUGUAGAUGAAGGGGAGGAGUCAGGUUAAAUCCACUUCAGUCAGUGUAGAUGAAGGGGAGGAGUCAGGUUAAAUCCACUUCAGUCAGUGUAGAUGAGAGGGGAGGAGUCAGGUUAAAUCCACUUCAGUCAGUGUAGAUGAAGGGGAGGAGUCAGGUUAAAUCCACUUCAGUCAGUGUAGAUGAAGGGGAGGAGUCAGGUUAAAUCCACUUCAGUCAGUGUAGAUGAGGGGGGAGGAGUCAGGUUAAAUCCACUUCAGUCAGUGUAGAUGAAGGGGAGGAGUCAGGUUAAAUCCACUUCAGUCAGUGUAGAUGAAGGGGAGGAGUCAGGUUAAAUCCACUUCAGUCAGUGUAGAUGAGGGGGGAGGAGUCAGGUUAAAUCCACUUCAGUCAGUGUAGAUGAAGGGGAGGAGUCAGGUUAAAUCCACUUCAGUCAGUGUAGAUGAAGGGGAGGAGUCAGGUUAAAUCCACUUCAGUCAGUGUAGAUGAGGGGGGAGGAGUCAGGUUAAAUCCACUUCAGUCAGUGUAGAUGAGGGGGGAGGAGUCAGGUUAAAUCCACUUCAGUCAGUGUAGAUGAAGGGGAGGAGUCAGGUUAAAUCCACUUCAGUCAGUGUAGAUGAGGGGGGAGGAGUCAGGUUAAAUCCACUUCAGUCAGUGUAGAUGAGGGGGGAGGAGUCAGGUUAAAUCCACUUCAGUCAGUGUAGAUGAAGGGGAGGAGUCAGGUUAAAUCCACUUCAGUCAGUGUAGAUGAAGGGGAGGAGUCAGGUUAAAUCCACUUCAGUCAGUGUAGAUGAAGGGGAGGAGUCAGGUUAAAUCCACUUCAGUCAGUGUAGAUGAGGGGGGAGGAGUCAGGUUAAAUCUACUUCAGUCAGUGUAGAUGAAGGGGAGG
This is a long non-coding RNA of Oncorhynchus keta (chum salmon), 2561 nucleotides long. RefSeq lists it as uncharacterized. The record is from RefSeq and is a predicted model, not a curated record. The transcript is spliced from 11 exons. Lineage: Eukaryota; Metazoa; Chordata; Actinopteri; Salmoniformes; Salmonidae.